GGUUAAGCGAAUAAGCGUACACGGUGGAUGCCUAGGCAAUCAGAGGCGAUGAAGGACGUGCUAAUCUGCGAAAAGCGUCGGUAAGGUGAUAUGAACCGUUAUACCCGACGAUAUCCGAAUGGGGAAACCCAGUAUCCAAUGGAUACUAUCAUUAACUGAAUCCAUAGGUUAAUGAGGCGAACCGGGAGAACUGAAACAUCUCAGUACCCCGAGGAAAAGAAAUCAACCGAGAUUCCCCUAGUAGCGGCGAGCGAACGGGGAGCAGCCCAGAGUCUUAAUCAAUAGCAGUGUCAGGAGAACGGUCUGGAAAGUCCGGCAGUAAAGGGUGAUAGCCCCGUAUCUGAAGAUGCUGUUAUUGUGAACUCGACGAGUAGGGCGGGACACGUGUUAUCCUGUCUGAAUAUGGGGGGACCAUCCUCCAAGGCUAAAUACUCCUGAUUGACCGAUAGUGAACCAGUACCGUGAGGGAAAGGCGAAAAGAACCCCGGCGAGGGGAGUGAAAAAGAACCUGAAACCGUGUACGUACAAGCAGUAGGAGCCUCUUUAUGGGGUGACUGCGUACCUUUUGUAUAAUGGGUCAGCGACUUAUAUUCUGUAGCAAGGUUAACCGUAUAGGGGAGCCGUAGGGAAACCGAGUCUUAACUGGGCGAAUGAGUUGCAGGGUAUAGACCCGAAACCCGGUGAUCUAUCCAUGGGCAGGUUGAAGGUUGGGUAACACUAACUGGAGGACCGAACCGACUAAUGUUGAAAAAUUAGCGGAUGACUUGUGGAUGGGGGUGAAAGGCCAAUCAAACCGGGAGAUAGCUGGUUCUCCCCGAAAGCUAUUUAGGUAGCGCCUCGUGAACUCAUCUUCGGGGGUAGAGCACUGUUUCGACUAGGGGGUCAUCCCGACUUACCAACUCGAUGCAAACUGCGAAUACCGAAGAAUGUUAUCACGGGAGACACACGGCGGGUGCUAACGUCCGUCGUGAAGAGGGAAACAACCCAGACCGCCAGCUAAGGUCCCAAAGUCAUGGUUAAGUGGGAAACGAAGUGGGAAGGCUCAGACAGCCAGGAUGUUGGCUUAGAAGCAGCCAUCAUUUAAAGAAAGCGUAAUAGCUCACUGGUCGAGUCGGCCCGCGCGGAAGAUGUAACGGGGCUAAACCAUGCACCGAAGCUGCGGCAGCGACACAAAGUGUUGUUGGGUAGGGGAGCGUUCUGUAAGCCUGCGAAGGUGUACUGUGAGGUAUGCUGGAGGUAUCAGAAGUGCGAAUGCUGACAUAAGUAACGAUAAUGCGGGUGAAAAACCCGCACGCCGGAAGACCAAGGGUUCCUGUCCAACGUUAAUCGGGGCAGGGUGAGUCGACCCCUAAGGCGAGGCUGAAAAGCGUAGUCGAUGGGAAACGGGUUAAUAUUCCCGUACUGGUGGUAACUGCGAUGGGGGAACGGAGAAGGCUAGGUUGUCCGGGCGACGGUCGUCCCGGUUCAAGCAGGUAGGCAGAGUGAUUAGGCAAAUCCGGUCACUUAAUGCUGAGAUGUGAUGACGAACCACCAAGGUGGUGAAGCAAUUGAUGCCCCGCUUCCAGGAAAAGCCUCUAAGCUUCAGGUUACCAACAAUCGUACCCCAAACCGACACAGGUGGUCAGGUAGAGAAUACUCAGGCGCUUGAGAGAACUCGGGUGAAGGAACUAGGCAAAAUGGUGCCGUAACUUCGGGAGAAGGCACGCUGGCGGUAGGUAAAGUCCCUCGCGGACAGAGCUGAAGCCAGUCGAAGAUACCAGCUGGCUGCAACUGUUUAUUAAAAACACAGCACUGUGCAAACACGAAAGUGGACGUAUACGGUGUGACGCCUGCCCGGUGCUGGAAGGUUAAUUGAUGGGGUCAGCCGUAAGGCGAAGCUCCUGAUCGAAGCCCCAGUAAACGGCGGCCGUAACUAUAACGGUCCUAAGGUAGCGAAAUUCCUUGUCGGGUAAGUUCCGACCUGCACGAAUGGCGUAAUGAUGGCCAGGCUGUCUCCACCCGAGACUCAGUGAAAUUGAACUCGCUGUGAAGAUGCAGUGUACCCGCGGCAAGACGGAAAGACCCCGUGAACCUUUACUAUAGCUUGACACUGAACAUUGAGCCUUGAUGUGUAGGAUAGGUGGGAGGCUUUGAAGUGUGGACGCCAGUCUGCAUGGAGCCAACCUUGAAAUACCACCCUUUAACGUUUGAUGUUCUAACCUAGGCCCAUAAACUGGGUCGGGGACCGUGUCUGGUGGGUAGUUUGACUGGGGCGGUCUCCUCCUAAAGAGUAACGGAGGAGCACGAAGGUUGGCUAAGCAUGGUCGGACAUCAUGCGGUUAGUGCAAAGGCAUAAGCCAGCUUGACUGCGAGAGUGACGGCUCGAGCAGGUACGAAAGUAGGUCUUAGUGAUCCGGUGGUUCUGAAUGGAAGGGCCAUCGCUCAACGGAUAAAAGGUACUCCGGGGAUAACAGGCUGAUACCGCCCAAGAGUUCAUAUCGACGGCGGUGUUUGGCACCUCGAUGUCGGCUCAUCACAUCCUGGGGCUGAAGUAGGUCCCAAGGGUAUGGCUGUUCGCCAUUUAAAGUGGUACGCGAGCUGGGUUUAGAACGUCGUGAGACAGUUCGGUCCCUAUCUGCCGUGGGCGUUGGAAGAUUGAGAGGGGUUGCUCCUAGUACGAGAGGACCGGAGUGAACGCACCACUGGUGUUCGGGUUGUCAUGCCAAUGGCAUUGCCCGGUAGCUAAGUGCGGAAGAGAUAACCGCUGAAAGCAUCUAAGCGGGAAACUUGCCUCGAGAUGAGUCUUCCCUGUCACUUUAAGUGACCUAAAGGAACGUUUAAGACUAAGACGUUGAUAGGCUGGGUGUGUAAGCGUAGCGAUACGUUGAGCUAACCAGUACUAAUGAACCGUGAGGCUUAACCUG
Molecule: ribosomal RNA, 2903 nt
Filed under: Proteus mirabilis
Lineage: Bacteria; Pseudomonadati; Pseudomonadota; Gammaproteobacteria; Enterobacterales; Morganellaceae
Description: 23S ribosomal RNA
Rfam family: Bacterial large subunit ribosomal RNA
Source: RNAcentral